GCACAAGCAGUGGAGUAUGUGGUUUAAUUCGAAGCAACGCGAAAAACCUUACCAGGUCUUGACAUCUAUCGCUAUCCCAAGAGAUUGGGAGUUCCCUUCGGGGACGGUAAGACAGGUGGUGCAUGGUUGUCGUCAGCUCGUGUCGUGAGAUGUUGGGUUAAGUCCCGCAACGAGCGCAACCCUUACUGUUAGUUGCUACGCAAGAGCACUCUAACGGGACUGCCGUUGACAAAA
Molecule: ribosomal RNA, 234 nt
Filed under: uncultured bacterium
Lineage: Bacteria
Description: partial 16S ribosomal RNA
Rfam family: Bacterial small subunit ribosomal RNA
Source: RNAcentral